CAGAGGGCGCGAGCGUUGUCCGGAAUCACUGGGCGUAAAGGGCGCGUAGGUGGCGGCAUAAGGCCGUGGUGAAAGUCCGGGGGCUCAACUCCGGAUCGGCCAUGGCAACUGUGUCGCUAGGGCACCGUAGAGGCAGAUGGAAUUCCGGGUGUAGCGGUGGAAUGCGUAGAGAUCCGGAAGAACACCAGUGGCGAAGGCGGUCUGCUGGGCGGUGGGGUCGAAAGACUCCAAUAGCCGACACUGAGGCGCGACAGCGUGGGGAGCAAACAGGAUUAGAUACCCUGGUAGUCCACGCCGUAAACGAUGGGCACUAGGUGCUCCGGGGAGCGACCCUUGGAGUACCGGCGCUAACGCAUGAAGUGCCCCGCCUGGGGAGUACGGCCGCAAGGCUG
Molecule: ribosomal RNA, 392 nt
Filed under: uncultured organism
Description: bacterial SSU rRNA
Rfam family: Bacterial small subunit ribosomal RNA
Source: RNAcentral